AGGGCACCACCAGGAGUGGAGCCUGCGGCUUAAUUUGACUCAACACGGGGAAACUUACCCGGCCUGGACACUGGAAGGAUUGACAGAUUGAGAGCUCUUUCUUGAUUCAGUGGGUGGUGGUGCAUGGCCGUUCUUAGUUGGUGGAGCGAUUUGUCUGGUUAAUUCCGAUAACGAACGAGACUCUAGCCUAUUAAAUAGGCUCUCGGCUUUUAAACGCCGGGAGGACUUCUUAGAGGGACAGGUGGCGGUUCAGCCGCACGAAAGAGAGCAAUAGCAGGUCUGUGAUGCCCUUUGUUGUCCGGGGCCGCACGCGCGCUACACUGAAGAGAUCAGCGUGCUUUACGUUCCUGCUCCGACCUGAGUGGGGAACCCAGUGAACCUUCUUCGUGAUUGGGAUAGAAGAUUGUAAUUAUUCUUCUUGAACGAGGAAUUCCCAGUAAAUGCGAGUCAUAAGCUCGCGUUGAUUACGUCCCUGCCCUUUGUACACACCGCCCGUCGCUACUACCGAUUGAACGAUUU
RNAcentral lists this ribosomal RNA (519 nucleotides) under uncultured eukaryote. Its description in RNAcentral is "SSU rRNA". It matches the Rfam family "Eukaryotic small subunit ribosomal RNA", at positions 1161 to 1699 of the family's 1831-position model. The record is from RNAcentral.